RNAcentral lists this ribosomal RNA (446 nucleotides) under uncultured bacterium. RNAcentral describes it as "partial 16S ribosomal RNA". It matches the Rfam family "Bacterial small subunit ribosomal RNA", at positions 338 to 795 of the family's 1533-position model. The record is from RNAcentral.
CCUACGGGAGGCUGCAGUCGAGAAUCAUUCACAAUGGGGGAAACCCUGAUGGUGCGACGCCGCGUGGGGGAAUGAAGGUCUUCGGAUUGUAAACCCCUGUCAUGUGGGAGCAAAUUAAAAAGAUAGUACCACAAGAGGAAGAGAUGGCUAACUCUGUGCCAGCAGCCGCGGUAAUACAGAGGUCUCAAGCGUUGUUCGGAAUCACUGGGCGUAAAGCGUGCGUAGGCUGUUUCGUAAGUCGUGUGUGAAAGGCGCGGGCUCAACCCGCGGACGGCACAUGAUACUGCGAGACUAGAGUAAGGGAGGGGGAACCGGAAUUCUCGGUGUAGCAGUGAAAUGCGUAGAUAUCGAGAGGAACACUCGUGGCGAAGGCGGGUUCCUGGACAUUAACUGACGCUGAGGCACGAAGGCCAGGGGAGCGAAAGGGAUUAGAUACCCCAGUAGUC